CACUCAUUUUCCCAAAAUUUAACCCCAAAUCUUUAGAGAAUUAGAGUUUAGAGUGACGCUUCUUCUUCUCCUCCUCCAACGCUUUGGAGUAGAGACCAGAACGGAAUCACGGUCACGGAGAGAGGCAGAGUGUAGAGCUCCGCCGGCACACCAUCCUCUUCAUAUAAAACACCAGGUUGAAUGGGACACUGAGUGAUGAAUUCAGGGCCAUCAGACCAUGGAUAUCUUGGUUGGUUCACUCCAUGCCAGUGAAUGGGCAUAUGAGCAUCUUGUUCUUGUGCAUUAUAGAGAAACAAGUGAGAUUGGGAUUUGAAGUUGCAGCAAACCAUGGUGGAAAAGUUUCCCUUGAACUCAGCUGAUGCAGCAUACACAAAAAUCAGAGGAAUGCUUUCUACCCUGGCGAUCCAUUCACUCGGAUUAUCAGUCCAAAGGAAUACCAAGGAUUUAGAAUUGGAAGUGAUGGGAACUUACAAGGAGUAGGCCUCUUCAUAAAUAUUGAACCAAGAACUGGACAUUUGCAGCAUGUUCAGCAACCUGAAAAGUUCAGACUUACGAGACAGACUUCCUUUGGGAGGAGACAUUUGAGUGUGUGGACCACAAAUCCUAUUCUCAUUUGGAUUGUUUGUUUCUUCAGGCAGUUUGUAUGCUCAGUACCUAAAGUGGAUUACUUGACCUUGAGACAUGGGUUUGUCACGGCACACUUGGCACCUCAAAAUCACCAUAAGUUUGAUUUUAUGCAAUACAUUGAAAGAACAUUGGAAGAGGACUUCAAAGUUGUUGUAGAAAUCAGGUUCAUGUGAUGAUUACUAUAUGUAUUUUAACAAUUAACUACCAAUACAUUAAUUAAGUGAAUUUAUAAUUACGUGCUUUUAUUUUAUUUCCAAUUAUUUGUUGAUUCAGUCCUCCAAUCUGGUUCAUCACAGUGUUGUUUCUCCUGUUUCACACGCAUGGUAAGUCAAUACAAUAAUAAUACUACAUCUUAUUAUAACUACCCACAACACAUAUUAUAUAUAUAUAUUUGUUGGUUUAGUCCUCCAAUCUGGUUCAUCACAGUGUUGUUUCUCCUGUUUCACACCCAUGGUAAGUCAAUACAAUAAUAAUACUACAUCUUAUUAUAACUAUCCACA
Molecule: long non-coding RNA, 1127 nt
Organism: Arachis stenosperma
Lineage: Eukaryota; Viridiplantae; Streptophyta; Magnoliopsida; Fabales; Fabaceae
Exons: 8
Source: RefSeq, a predicted model, not a curated record